AGAACGAACGCUGGCGGCAGGCCUAACACAUGCAAGUCGAACGCUCCAGCAAUGGAGAGUGGCAGACGGGUGAGUAACGCGUGGGAACCUUCCCUAUGGUUCGGAAUAGCUCAGGGAAACUUGGGGUAAUACCGGAUAAGCCCUUCGGGGGAAAGAUUUAUCGCCAUUGGAUGGGCCCGCGUCGGAUUAGCUAGUUGGUGGGUAACGGCCCACCAAGGCAACGAUCCGUAGCUGGUCUGAGAGGAUGAUCAGCCACACUGGGACUGAGACACGGCCCAGACCUCCUACGGG
This 291-nucleotide ribosomal RNA is filed under the name uncultured soil bacterium. RNAcentral's name for it is "partial 16S ribosomal RNA". It matches the Rfam family "Bacterial small subunit ribosomal RNA", at positions 26 to 345 of the family's 1533-position model. The record is from RNAcentral.